GCUGGUCUCAGAUAGCCAUGCAUGGUCUAAGUAUAAGCAAUUAUACAGCGAAACAGCGAAUGGGCUCAUUAAUACUGUUAUAGUUUAUUUGGUAACUCAAAUUACAUGGAUAACCGUGGAAAUUCUAGAGCUAAUACAUGCGCAAAGGGCUUACCGCUCGUAUUUAUUAGAUAACAGACCAAUACAUAGGUGACUCAUAGUAACUGAUCGAAUCGCCGGCAUCUCGCUGCGAUAAAUCAUUCAAGUUUCUGCCCCAUCAGCUGUAGAUGGUAGUGUAUUGGACUACCAUGGCUUUCACGGGUAACGGAGGAUUAGGGUUCGAUUCCGGAGAGGGAGCCUGAGAAACGGCUACCACAUCUAAGGAAGGCAGCAGGCGCGUAAAUUACCCAAUACUGAUUCAGUGAGGUAGUGACAAGAAAUAGCGGGCCGGCUUCUUGCCGGGACUGAAAUGAUUAGAAUUUAACGACCUUUACGAGGAACAAUUGGAGGGCAAGUCUGGU
This 500-nucleotide ribosomal RNA is filed under the name uncultured eukaryote. RNAcentral describes it as "SSU rRNA". It matches the Rfam family "Eukaryotic small subunit ribosomal RNA", at positions 30 to 565 of the family's 1831-position model. The record is from RNAcentral.